AUUGAACGCUGGCGGCAUGCCUUACACAUGCAAGUCGAACGGCAGCGGGGGAGAAGCUUGCUUUUCCUGCCGGCGAGUGGCGAACGGGUGAGUAAUACAUCGGAACGUGCCCUGUAGUGGGGGAUAACUAGUCGAAAGAUUAGCUAAUACCGCAUACGACCUGAGGGUGAAAGUGGGGGACCGCAAGGCCGCAUGCUAUAGGAUGGGCCGAUGUCUGAUUAGCUAGUUGGUGGGGUAAAGGCCUACCAAGGCGACGAUCAGUAGCUGGUCUGAGAGGACGAUCAGCCACACUGGGACUGAGACACGGCCCAGACCCCUACGGGAGGCAGCAGUGGGGGAUUUUGGACAAUGGGCGAAAGCCUGAUCCAGCAAUGCCGCGUGUGUGAAGAAGGCCUUCGGGUUGUAAAGCACUUUUGUCCGGAAAGAAAUGGCUCUGGUUAAUACCUGGGGUCGAUGACGGUACCGGAAGAAUAAGGACCGGCUAACUACGUGCCAGCCGCCGCGGUAA
RNAcentral lists this ribosomal RNA (508 nucleotides) under uncultured bacterium. Its description in RNAcentral is "partial 16S ribosomal RNA". It matches the Rfam family "Bacterial small subunit ribosomal RNA", at positions 30 to 523 of the family's 1533-position model. The record is from RNAcentral.